UCAGAAGAGGCUACUACUAGCUAUCUAGCUUCAUGUUUAACUCUUCUUGGUUUGUGUUUUUGUGUGCUUGUUGGAGUUGUUAGGAGGAAGAGAGGGGUGAGAGGUGAGGCUGACAGAAGAGAGUGAGCACACAUGGUGACUUUCUUGCAUGCUGAAUGGACUCAUGCUUGAAGCUAUGUGUGCUCACUUCUCUCUCUGUCAGCCAUUUGAUCUCUCUUUCUCUCUUUCUCCCUCAUGUGUUAUACUGUUCUCUCAUAUCUAUCUUCUUUGAGGUAGUAAUAUACUUGAGCAAAUUAAGCUGCUUAAUUAUUUGUGUAUGAUGAUCAGCUGCUGAUCCGGCCUCAUUUCUUGCAUAUAUGAGAUCAGUUUCAACCACAACCACAUACAUGCUUGUUCAUUUUUUUUCACAAAGAAAGAGAACAGUUUAAUUUAAUUUCUUGGGGUUUUUGGAUCAGUUAAUUUGUCUUGAGAGGGGAAGAGAUCUCUAUGGGUUUUGGAGGUCUGACAGAAGAGAGUGAGCACACACGGUGCUUUCUUAGCAUGCAAGAGCCAUGCUGGGAGCUGUGCGUGCUCACUCUCUAUCUGUCAGCCGUUCACCAUGCCCAAUAUGAUUAAUCUCCUUCUCUCAGUUGACAGUAAUUUCUUUGCCAGAUCUCCUGUUAAAUUUUCUGCCUAGCUAGCUAUUAUGCACAUGCUUAUUAUGAUGAGCCUGCCAAUAUCAUCUCCAAGGCAAAACACAAACUAGCUAUGAUUUGAUUCAUUAUAUUUCUUUUCGCUGUUUAAUUAAUUAUAUGCAG
Molecule: precursor RNA, 797 nt
Filed under: Oryza barthii
Lineage: Eukaryota; Viridiplantae; Streptophyta; Magnoliopsida; Poales; Poaceae
Description: putative precursor microRNA R156bc
Rfam family: mir-156 microRNA precursor family (bases 502-589)
Source: RNAcentral